Molecule: ribosomal RNA, 468 nt
Filed under: uncultured bacterium
Lineage: Bacteria
Description: partial 16S ribosomal RNA
Rfam family: Bacterial small subunit ribosomal RNA
Source: RNAcentral
GACGAACGCUGGCGGCGUGCUUAACACAUGCCAGUCGAACGGAAAGGCCCUGCUUUUGUGGGGUGCUCGAGUGGCGAACGGGUGAGUAACACGUGAGUAACCUGCCCUUGACUUUGGGAUAACUUCAGGAAACUGGGGCUAAUACCGGAUAGGAGCUCCUGCUUCAUGGUGGGGGUUGGAAAUUUUCGGCGGUUGGGGAUGGACUCGCGGCUUAUCAGCUUGUUGUUGGGGUAGUGGCUUACCAAGGCUUUGACGGGUAGCCGGCCUGAGAGGGUGACCGGCCACAUUGGGACUGAGAUACGGCCCAGACUCCUACGGGAGGCAGCAGUGGGGAAUAUUGCACAAUGGGAGGAAGCCUGAUGCAGCAACGCCGCGUGCGGGAUGACGGCCUUCGGGUUGUAACCCGCUUUCGCCUGUGACGAAGCGUGAGUGACGGUAAUGGGUAAAGAAGCACCGGCUAACUACGUG